CGCCAGACUCCUACGGGAGGCAGCAGUGGGGAAUAUUGCACAAUGGGGGAAACCCUGAUGCAGCGACGCCGCGUGAGCGAUGAAGUAUUUCGGUAUGUAAAGCUCUAUCAGCAGGGAAGAAGAUGACGGUACCUGACUAAGAAGCCCCGGCUAACUACGUGCCAGCAGCCGCGGUAAUACGUAGGGGGCAAGCGUUAUCCGGAUUUACUGGGUGUAAAGGGAGCGUAGACGGCGAUGCAAGCCAGAUGUGAAAGCCCGGGGCUCAACCCCGGGACUGCAUUUGGAACUGUGUGGCUGGAGUGUCGGAGAGGCAGGCGGAAUUCCUAGUGUAGCGGUGAAAUGCGUAGAUAUUAGGAGGAACACCAGUGGCGAAGGCGGCCUGCUGGACGAUGACUGACGUUGAGGCUCGAAAGCGUGGGGAGCAAACAGGAUUAGAUACCCGCGUACU
Molecule: ribosomal RNA, 448 nt
Filed under: uncultured bacterium
Lineage: Bacteria
Description: bacterial SSU rRNA
Rfam family: Bacterial small subunit ribosomal RNA
Source: RNAcentral